Molecule: long non-coding RNA, 467 nt
Filed under: Cricetulus griseus (Chinese hamster)
Lineage: Eukaryota; Metazoa; Chordata; Mammalia; Rodentia; Cricetidae
Description: lncRNA (ENSCGRG00015033993.1)
Source: RNAcentral
GGGAUAGAGGUAGAGGUUGUACCUUCCCAAAAUCAAACAUUAAGACUGUGUCGAGAGUGCUUCGGGUCAAGCUAACAGCCUAGUUGCGACUCCCGUACACAGUCUUAAUGUUUGAUUUUGGGAAGGUUCAACCUCUGCCUCUAUCCCUCAACAUAUGGGUGACCUAUUUGCUUGUAAAAAUAUAAAGCCUUAUCAUUAAUUAAUAAAAAAAGGGGGAUCUGUAGGGAGCCGUCCCUGCAUUCUCCAUUACAAGAUGGCGCCUGCAUCCGGCAGGCACCGAAUGUAAACAAGAUUAUUGCGCAGGCGCUGGGUAAAUUUCCAUUCCUUGAUCUCUGCCUAUUCCGUGGCGUCAUAUGGCCGGAUGAGCUACAGCCAAUCAUAGGGUGACACGUCCCAGGCGGCGGCUGCCAGCCUUUAUUAGGGGACGGGAUUCUUGGCUCAGUGUCUCCGCUCUGGUAAGCUUAUGC